AGCAGCCGCGGUAAUUCCAGCUCCAAUAGCGUAUAUUAAAGUUGUUGCAGUUAAAAAGCUCGUAGUUGAAUUUCGGGAUCAAAGAAUCGGUCAUGCCUUGGUAUGUACUGGUUUUAUUGGUUCUCACCUUCUAAAGAGCCAUGAUGUCAUUCAUUUGAUGUUAUGGGGAAUUAGGACUGUUACCUUGAAAAAAUUUAGAGUGUUUAAAGCAAGCUUACGCUUGAAUACAUUAGCAUGGAAUAAUGAAAUAGGACAUCAGAUUCUAUUUUGUUGGUUUCUAGGAUCGAUGUAAUGAUUAAUAGGGAUAGUUGGGGGCAUUAGUAUUCAAUUGUCAGAGGUGAAAUUCUUGGAUUUAUUGAAGACUAACUACUGCGAAAGCAUUUGCCAAGGAUGUUUUCAUUAAUCAAGAACGAAAGUUAGGGGAUCGAAGACGAUCAGAUACCGUCGUAGUCUUAACCAUAAACUAUGCCGACUAGGGAUCGGAUGAUGUUAAUUUUUUAAUGACUCAUUCGGCGCCUUA
Molecule: unclassified non-coding RNA, 520 nt
Filed under: uncultured Glomus
Lineage: Eukaryota; Fungi; Glomeromycota; Glomeromycetes; Glomerales; Glomeraceae
Description: SSU rRNA
Rfam family: Eukaryotic small subunit ribosomal RNA
Source: RNAcentral